CAGUAGCCGCGGUAAUACAAGGGGGGCAAGCGUUGUUCGGAAUUAUUGGGCGUAAAGGGUGCGUAGGCGGCUUGACAAGUCUUGUGUGAAAUCUAUGGGCUCAACCCAUAGUCUGCACGGGAAACGGUCGGGCUUGAGAAUGGGAGAGGUGAGUGGAAUUUCCGGUGUAGCGGUGAAAUGCGUAGAUAUCGGAAGGAACACCUGUGGCGAAAGCGGCUCACUGGACCAUUUCUGACGCUGAUGCACGAAAGCUAGGGGAGCAAACAGGAUUAGAUACCCCAGUAGUCCCUGUCUCUUAUAC
RNAcentral lists this ribosomal RNA (301 nucleotides) under uncultured bacterium. RNAcentral's name for it is "partial 16S ribosomal RNA". It matches the Rfam family "Bacterial small subunit ribosomal RNA", at positions 509 to 807 of the family's 1533-position model. The record is from RNAcentral.